This 338-nucleotide ribosomal RNA is filed under the name uncultured bacterium. RNAcentral describes it as "bacterial SSU rRNA". It matches the Rfam family "Bacterial small subunit ribosomal RNA", at positions 28 to 341 of the family's 1533-position model. The record is from RNAcentral.
GACGAACGCUGGCGGCGCGCCUAAACACAUGCAAGUCGAGCGGGAAGCUUUUUUAAGGAUUCUUCGGAUGAAUUAAAAGUGGAGAGCGGCGGACGGGUGAGUAACGCGUGAGAAACCUUGCCCUAUACAGGGGGAUAGCCAUUGGAAACGAUGAUUAAUACCCCAUAUGACCACAAGUACUCGCAAGUGAUACUAGCGGUGAAAAACCUCCGGUGGUACUAGGAUGGUCUUCGCGUCUGAUUAGCUAGUUGUGGGGUAACGCCUACCAAGGCACGAUCAGUAGCCGGCCUGAGAGGGUUACCGGCACACUUGGAACUGAGACACGGUCCAGACUCCUA